This 500-nucleotide ribosomal RNA is filed under the name uncultured bacterium. RNAcentral's name for it is "partial 16S ribosomal RNA". It matches the Rfam family "Bacterial small subunit ribosomal RNA", at positions 28 to 507 of the family's 1533-position model. The record is from RNAcentral.
GACGAACGCUGGCGGCGCGCUUAACACAUGCCAGUCGAACGGAAAGGCCUGCUUUCCCUUGUGGAUUGCGGGUACUCGAGUGGCGAACGGGUGAGUAACACGUGAGUGAUCUGCCCCCAACUUGGGUAUAAGCCUGGGAAACUGGGUCUAAUUCCCGAUAGGACUGCAGGGUGGUGCCUGUGGUGGAAAACGAUUUUCUAGUGGUUGGGGAUGAGCUCGCGGCCUAUCAGCUUGUUGGUGGGGUAAUGGCCUACCAAGGCGGCGACGGGUAGCCGGCCUGGGAGGGUGAUCGGCGACAGUGAGACUGGGACACGGUCCAGGCUCCGACGGGGGGCAGAAGUAGGGAAGCGGCCGCGAGGGGCGAAGGCCUGAGGGAGCAACGCCGCGUGAGGGAUGAGGGUGUUCGGAUCGUAAAACUCGGUGAUUAGGGAAGAAGAAAAGUGUAAGUAACUAUGCACGUCUUGACGGUACCUAAACAGAAAGCAACGGCUAACUACGUG